GGAUAAGCGCUGGAAACGGCGUCUAAUACUGGAUAUGUCCCGUCACCGCAUGGUGUGCGGGUGGAAAGAUUUUUCGGUUGGGGAUGGGCUCGCGGCCUAUCAGCUUGUUGGUGAGGUAAUGGCUCACCAAGGCGUCGACGGGUAGCCGGCCUGAGAGGGUGACCGGCCACACUGGGACUGAGACACGGCCCAGACUCCUACGGGAGGCAGCAGUGGGGAAUAUUGCACAAUGGGCGGAAGCCUGAUGCAGCAACGCCGCGUGAGGGAUGACGGCCUUCGGGUUGUAAACCUCUUUUAGCAGGGAAGAAGCGAAAGUGACGGUACCUGCAGAAAAAGCACCGGCUAACUACGUGCCAGCAGCCGCGGUAAUACGUAGGGUGCAAGCGUUAUCCGGAAUUAUUGGGCGUAAAGAGCUCGUAGGCGGUCUGUCGCGUCUGCUGUGAAAUUCCGAGGCUCAACCUCGGGCUUGCAGUGGGUACGGGCAGACUAGAGUGCGGUAGGGGAGAUUGGAAUUCCUGGUGUAGCGGUGGAAUGCGCAGAUAUCAGGAGG
Molecule: ribosomal RNA, 550 nt
Filed under: Kocuria sp.
Lineage: Bacteria; Bacillati; Actinomycetota; Actinomycetes; Micrococcales; Micrococcaceae
Description: bacterial SSU rRNA
Rfam family: Bacterial small subunit ribosomal RNA
Source: RNAcentral